CGUCCGAAGGUGUCAGUGAUCAAACCUGGAAGUAAAAAAUAUGCAUCGCUGAGCACAGCCGGGAUGAAAGUGAAUUUAACGUUAAAUGAGAGCUCUGACCGCCAUCCAUUGGUCUGCUCAGCGUCUUACAUGCUCGGUAGACCUUGUUAAGCCCGUUUAAUACGUUUUCACCCAAUAUGGUAUAGUAUGGAUUCGAGUCCAUGAGCAGACCCUAACACGCACUAACAAGGCACUCUAACCUGUACGGGGGAUUGGUGUAUAUCCCCGGAUAAACUUCUCUGCGUCCAAAACCGAGGAGAGCCAAAUCUUCUCACCGGAAGGCGGGGUAAUUCUUAGUCUUGCAGGGAAGAGUAAGGCUGGGCGAAGAUGGAGUUUGUAGAGUUUGGUCAUGACAUCUCUGUAGUCGGCGCGAUGCUUUGCCACAUCGGGCGCAUAAUCCUCAUAGACACGGAAUGGAUGCCCUUUAUGUGACAGGUUGCCCCUCAUUCGAGUUUCACGCAGGAUAAGAUCAUUGGUCUUGAAACUGUGACAACAGAUUAUUACUGGGCGAGGACGUUGGCCCGGUCCAGGCACUGGGACAAGGGAGCGAUGUGCGCGGUCCAGCUGGGGAUCCGAAUCCAAAACAUCCGAUCCCAUUGCAUCCUUCAAUAGCUUGGCGAAGAAGUCGGUAGGGCGAGAGCCCGCCUCUAUCCCCUCUGCCAGACCAACAACGCGCAGGUUAUUACGUCUGGAUCGGCCCUCCAGGUCCACCACUUUCACAGAAAGCCCCUGCACAGUAUCCUGCAAUGACGUGCAUAGCUUCUCUAACUCGUCGAUCCUACCAGCGUUGAAUUCAGAAGCUUUCUCAAGGUCCACAAUACUCUGGCCAUGCGAAGCGACCGUUCGAAUGACGCUCUCGAUUUUGGUGUCCAGCUCAGCAAUAGUGGCCUUAAGAUCCUCCGCUAUAGCAACACGUAGCUCCCCCAAAGCCCUGGACUGUGGAAUCUAGUCUUCCUCUUCUCCAACCUCUCCUUAUUCUUCCUGCUGCCCUUUGCCUACUUCUUCACUGAGUCUGACGGCUUCGCUGGAUCCAAAAAUGUACCUGCUUCAGUGACAGAGAAGACUGGUUAGAAGAUGUGCUUGAGCCAAAUCCCCUGAGUAUUGUUGCCAUGGGUGUGAUGGCUCGUCUGUAUGAGACAGCACUAGUCCUCUUCCUCCUGACCCUGUUGAUACUGGGAAUGGUGUGGGUGGCAUCAGCCAUACUUGAUGAUAAUAUGGCCAAGUCUUUAUGUAUGUCUCUGGGAUUAUCACACAUGUUCAGUAUCACAGGAAGCCUACUGGUCAAACCAAAGGGCUGCAUAUAUUGCUAUUGACUGUGUCCCGCUCCACCAUCCCACUCAGGCUCCUAUUGGCUAAUGGACAACGAUUCAGUGACACUUGAACAAGCUAAUGACAUGGGCUUACCAAAGUGAGCUUGCCAAAGAGCAGUGUCUCCAAAUAUUUAUCUGUAGUAAAUUCUCUUUGAAAGAGAGAAGGGGAUUGACCUGAUGGAUGACUGGUGAUCCUGUUACUACUAAAAUGAGAAGAGGAGGAAACUCUGGACUUGGACCUCAGACAUGAUUAUACUUCAGAGUAUAGGUACAGGACAGGUAUUGCACCAAGGGGACCAAUGCCAGUCUCCUCUUCUGUCAGGUCUAUAAUGGAGUAUGUGAGAAAUAAAUUGAAAAAAAGAAAAAAAGGGGAGGAAGACAAUGGUGAAGGAAACAAAAUGUGAUCUGUGUAUUUGAGAAAGACUGUUUGUGUGCGUGUGUGGAUCUGUCUGCCAGUGUACAUUCAUGUUUCUGCGCAGCGUGUUGUGUACAUGCAUGGAGAUUUUUCUCCAAUAUUUUUUCCACGUUCCUUUUAUUUUGUAAAUUACGUUUUUCAAUUAUGAGUUUGUGUCCAUAGAUUUAUGUUGACCUCAAGUGAAUGUUCAUAUGUUAUUGUCUCACAGGGGUAAAAACACUCCUCAACCUCGCCUGAAUCAUACAAAUGGCCAAAUGUGUUGUCAUAUCAAUGCCAGAACAGUCAGCUACUACAUGUUCAAUUAUCUGUAUGUCCUGUUAAACUGUAUUCUUUACGAUGAUGUAUGAUUGUUAGCUAGCUAUAAAAGUGAACUCUGGUUAAAAGUAUAUGAAGAUUGUUUAAAACUGUGAAUAUCUAAACUGAAGAGAGUUUUGUAAGGACUCCUCUACUGGAACAAUACAUGUUCUUUUCAGUCUGUUUCUUACACCGUUGCUGCUUGUUUUGAUUUGAGCAUAGCAUACCCACUGAGAACAUAUAUUGAUUUGGCAACCCUGUUUCACCCCAAUCUGUAAGUUUGCCUGAAGUUUUUAGAGCCUCAAAAGUAGGCUAGUCUUUAUAUACAAAUCCCUUCUCCCACACCAUCUGUUAUGUGUCUAGUACCAAAUGGUAUGGUAAAGAUAAGUCUAUCAUCAUUUUAAAUCGUUUCUAUCUUCUUUAAUUGUGUAAUUAAGGGGCUACUGGGGCUACACAAAGAUGGCAUAAGUGUACUCAACCUAACUUGCUUAACUUUUUAAGCAGCUAUUUAACAGAUUUUGAUUUUGUUGUGGAGUGAUCACUUUCCACAUAACAAGGAUCACUGUACACAUUCAUGGUUGACAGGGCCUGGGCCAUAAAAUAAGCAUAGGCCUAUUUAAAACUGAUAAGAUGUUCUCUGUGUGGUCCUCUGUAGCUGAGGCUCUGAGCUGUCCGAUCAGGUCCAUUGUCUACUUGCUUGCUCUGUAGCUCAAUUGGUACUACUGGCGCUUGCAACGCCAGGAUACUGGGUUAGAUUCCAGUGCUUGACUUGGGCGGAAGCUCACCGGAGCUGAGUAGCGGCACCUCAAAUGUUCUCCUGCUUAAGCUCCUGUUCCUGUUAUAGAAUAUUAGUUCAAACGUAUUGUGGAGCUCCUGCACCUAAAUAUAAACAGUACCAACACCCAAAAUGAGUACCGGCGCCUAUUUCAGUCCAAGUCAAGUAUUGGGGACCAUCCAUACUUAGAAUGUAUGCACGCGUGAAUGUAAAUCGUUUUUGGUAAAAGCGUCUGCUAAAUGGCACAUAUUAUUAUUUAUAAAAAAAUAUAUGUUUCUGUAAAAGGAUGUAUAUGUACGGUCAUUGAGCAUUUAAUAAUAAAAACUGCUGAACGUG
Oncorhynchus nerka (sockeye salmon) is the source of this 3169-nucleotide long non-coding RNA. RefSeq lists it as uncharacterized. The record is from RefSeq and is a predicted model, not a curated record. The transcript has 5 exons. Lineage: Eukaryota; Metazoa; Chordata; Actinopteri; Salmoniformes; Salmonidae.